RNAcentral lists this ribosomal RNA (254 nucleotides) under uncultured bacterium. RNAcentral describes it as "partial 16S ribosomal RNA". It matches the Rfam family "Bacterial small subunit ribosomal RNA", at positions 524 to 776 of the family's 1533-position model. The record is from RNAcentral.
CACGUAGGGUGCGAGCGUUGUUCGGAAUUAUUGGGCGUAAAGAGCUCGUAGGCGGUGUGUCGCGUCGGCCGUGAAAACCUGCAGCUUAACUGUGGGCUUGCGGUCGAUACGGGCAUCACUGGAGUUCGGCAGGGGAGACUGGAAUUCCUGGUGUAGCGGUGAAAUGCGCAGAUAUCAGGAGGAACACCAAUAGCGAAGGCAGCUCGCUGGGACGGUAUUGACGCUAAGGCGCGAAAGCGUGGGGAGCAAACAGG